GACAGCAGCCGCCGCGGUAAAACGAAGGUCCCGAGCGUUGUUCGGAAUCACUGGGCGUAAAGGGAGCGUAGGCGGCGUGGUAAGUCAGAUGUGAAAUCCCGGGGCUCAACCCCGGAACUGCAUCCGAUACUGCCAUGCUAGAGGAUUGGAGAGGUAGCUGGAAUUCUUGGUGUAGCAGUGAAAUGCGUGGAGAUCAAGAGGAACACUCGUGGCGAAAGCGAGCUACUGGACAAUAACUGACGCUGAGGCUCGAAGGCCAGGGUAGCGAAAGGGAUUAGAUACCCCAGUAGUCCCUGUCUCUUAUAC
RNAcentral lists this ribosomal RNA (306 nucleotides) under uncultured bacterium. RNAcentral's name for it is "partial 16S ribosomal RNA". It matches the Rfam family "Bacterial small subunit ribosomal RNA", at positions 507 to 807 of the family's 1533-position model. The record is from RNAcentral.